Molecule: ribosomal RNA, 669 nt
Filed under: Inosperma calamistratum
Lineage: Eukaryota; Fungi; Basidiomycota; Agaricomycetes; Agaricales; Inocybaceae
Description: partial 28S ribosomal RNA
Rfam family: Eukaryotic large subunit ribosomal RNA
Source: RNAcentral
UUGACCUCAAAUCAGGUAGGACCACCCGCUGAACUUAAGCAUAUCAAUAAGCGGAGGAAAAGAAACUAACAAGGAUUCCCCUAGUAACUGCGAGUGAAGAGGGAAAAGCUCAAAUUUGUAAUCUGGCGGUCUUUGACUGUCCGAGUUGUAAUCUAGAGAAGUGUUACCUGCGCUGGACCAUGUACAAGUCUCCUGGAAUGGAGCAUCAUAGAGGGUGAGAAUCCCGUCUUUGACAUGGACUUCCAGAGCUUAUAGGUGUGCUCUCAAAGAGUCGAGUUGUUUGGGAAUGCAGCUCAAAAUGGGUGGUAAAUGCCAUCUAAAGCUAAAUAUUGGCGAGAGACCGAUAGCGAACAAGUACCGUGAGGGAAAGAUGAAAAGAACUUUGGAAAGAGAGUUAAACAGUACGUGAAAUUGCUGAAAGGGAAACGCUUGAAGUCAGUCGCAUCAGUUGGAAAUCAACCUUGCUUUUGCUGGGCGUACUUUCUGUCUGAUGGGUCAGCAUCAAUUUUGAUUGCUGGAUAAAGUUCUUGGGAAUGUGGCAUCUUUGGAUGUGUUAUAGCCUUUGGACAUAUACAGUGGUUGGGAUUGAGGAACUCAGCACGCCGAAAGGCUGGGCUUGUCUACACUACGUGCUUAGGAUGCUGGCAUAAUGGCUUUAAUCGACCCGUC